Cyprinus carpio carpio is the source of this 461-nucleotide long non-coding RNA. Lineage: Eukaryota; Metazoa; Chordata; Actinopteri; Cypriniformes; Cyprinidae. The record is from Ensembl.
UAUUGUUUGCCAACCGCUAAAAAAGAAGCUGUUGUUUGCCGUGUCGGAGUGCCAAGAGGACAUAAAGUGGAAGUUUGUAAGGGACAUUGGUCCAGCGUGGUACAGAGUCAUCGUGGGUUAUUCUGUGGGGAGGUGACAGGGCCUGCCGUUCUCCAGAUGGACAGUAAAAAUCAACAGAAUGCCAUCAAAGACUACCUGGAGGGAGAAUCGGAGGAUAUAUUGAAGCAAGGAAUCUCUCUGUGUAGUCUAUGUAUGUAUGUGUGUGUACUGCAUGUCAAGAACUGUUUAUCUGAUCAUUCAGCUGUUCAUUCAGCUGCUCAGACUUUAUAAUAUUUGAAGCAUACCUUUUGUUAAACACAACCAGUCAAAAGUUUUUGAACAGUGACAUUUUUUAAUGUUUUUAAAGAAAUCUCUUCUGCUCAUCAAGCCUGCAUUUAUUUAAUCCAAAGUACAGCAAAAAC